AAGAAUCAAGAACAUUAUUAGUAGCAACACUGUAAAGAUGGAUGCUUCUCCAGGCUUAGUGAUGGUGAUGUUCCUGAUACUUGGAAGGAUCCGUGGAGACUCAGUGUCCCAGAUGGAAGGCCACAUGACCAUAUCAGAAGGGGCUUUGCUGACUGUAAAUUGCACUUUCUCAGCCACAAGGUCAGGGUAUACUACUCUUUUCUGGUAUCUUCAAUACCCUGGAGAAGGUUUGCAGCUCCUCCUGAAAGCUGUGAAGGCCAAUGAUACGGUCAGCAACAAAGGUUUUGAAGCCACAUACAAGAAAGAUACAUCCUCCUUCAACUUGGAGAAAGCCUCCAUCCAAGAGUCAGACUCGGCUGUGUACUACUGUGCUCUGGGUGACACAGUGGCAGAAACUGCAGGGGGAGCUGAGCACAAACUCUGAGCAGCAACCAGGGGCCUGGCUGCUGAGCGUCUGCCUCUGGGGUUCACUCUGGUUUCAGCACAGUCAAUGGCGUGUGCUGCUCCAUUUCUCUUCUUGAUGCAAAAUCAUACAUAUGUCCCGAGCAGCAACAGAAGGAGUGAACACCCCCAACUCACCUCUUCACUAGUGAAAGUAAGAACCAAAGCUGACAGCAUUAGUUCCUCAUGCAGGGACAAAGCAAUUUUCAAGGUAAAAUCACUCUAAUGAUAAAGUGGGCUCUUUCUUUAUCCUUACAGACAAAUCCUAGACCCCAUUUGUUGUUUCAGGUCACCCUGGUAAACAUUGCUGUGGCUCAUUAAUUUUUUAGAAAGACAGAUGUGCCAGAGGUGGCAUGUGCAUAAGGUCUCCCUAACAGAGUGUGGAAGGAGAAGUGAUAGGAGAAUUAGAGUCCCCAACUCGGAAAUCCAAGAUUGCUCAUAGAGAAGGAAGGGAAGAGAAGAAAGGACAAGGAACAGACCUCUCACACAGCCCUCUGCAAUGAGAGGAAAGGGAAUUUCCUCAUGCAGACAAGUGUGACUCUUUUGGUUAAUAAGAUGU
Molecule: non-coding RNA, 1000 nt
Organism: Marmota flaviventris (yellow-bellied marmot)
Lineage: Eukaryota; Metazoa; Chordata; Mammalia; Rodentia; Sciuridae
Source: the annotation of a RefSeq genome assembly